RNAcentral lists this ribosomal RNA (388 nucleotides) under uncultured bacterium. Its description in RNAcentral is "bacterial SSU rRNA". It matches the Rfam family "Bacterial small subunit ribosomal RNA", at positions 28 to 417 of the family's 1533-position model. The record is from RNAcentral.
GACGAACGCUGGCGGCGUGCUUAACACAUGCAAGUCGAGCGGUAAGGCCCUUUCGGGGGUACACGAGCGGCGAACGGGUGAGUAACACGUGGGUGACCUGCCCUCAGCUCUGGGAUAAGCCCGGGAAACUGGGUCUAAUACCGGAUAUGACUCCAUGACGCAUGUUGUGGGGUGGAAAGUCUUGUGCGGCUGAGGAUGGGCCCGCGGCCUAUCAGCUUGUUGGUGGGGUGAUGGCCUACCAAGGCGACGACGGGUAGCCGGCCUGAGAGGGCGACCGGCCACACUGGGACUGAGACACGGCCCGGACUCCUACGGGAGGCAGCAGUGGGGAAUCUUGCGCAAUGGGCGAAAGCCUGACGCAGCGACGCCGCGUGAGGGAUGACGGCCU